UACGUAGGGGGCUAGCGUUGUCCGGAAUCAUUGGGCGUAAAGCGCGCGUAGGCGGCCAGAUAAGUCCGGUGUGAAAGUCACAGGCUCAACCUGUGAAUGCCGCUGGAAACUGUCUGGCUUGAGUCCGGAAGGGGCGAGUGGAAUUCCUGGUGUAGCGGUGAAAUGCGCAGAUAUCUGGAGGAACACCGGUGGCGAAGGCGGCAUUCUGGACCAAUACUGACGCUGAGGAGCGAAAGCCAGGGGAGCAAACGGG
Molecule: ribosomal RNA, 253 nt
Filed under: uncultured bacterium
Lineage: Bacteria
Description: partial 16S ribosomal RNA
Rfam family: Bacterial small subunit ribosomal RNA
Source: RNAcentral